ACUGGGCGUAAAGCGUGCGCAGGCGGUUAUAUAAGUCAGAUGUGAAAUCCCUGGGCUCAACCUAGGAACUGCAUUUGAGACUGUAUGGCUAGAGUGUGUCAGAGGGGGGUAGAUUCCACGUGUAGCAGUGAAAUGCGUAGAUAUGUGGAGGAAUACCGAUGGCGAAGGCAGCCCCCUGGGAUAACACUGACGCUCAUGCACGAAAGCGUGGGGAGCAAACAGGAUUAGAUAUCCUGGUAGUCCACGCCCUAAACGAUGUCUACUAGUUGUUGGGUCUUAAUUGACUUAGUAACGCAGCUAACGCGUGAAGUAGACCGCCUGGGGAGUACGGUCGCAAGAUUAAAACUCAAAGGAAUUGACGGGGACCCGCACAAGCGGUGGAUGAUGUGGAUUAAUUCGAUGCAACGCGAAAAACCUUACCUACCCUUGACAUGUACAGAAUGCCGAAGAGAUUUGGCGGUGCUCGCAAGAGAACUGUAACACAGGUGCUGCAUGGCUGUCGUCAGCUCGUGUCGUGAGAUGUUGGGUUAAGUCCCGCAACGAGCGCAACCCUUGUCAUUAGUUGCUACAUUAAGUUGAGCACUCUAAUGAGACUGCCGGUGACAAACCGGAGGAAGGUGGGGAUGACGUCAAGUCCUCAUGGCCCUUAUGGGUAGGGCUUCACACGUCAUACAAUGGUACAUACAGAGGGCCGCCAACCCGCGAGGGGGAGCUAAUCCCAGAAAGUGUAUCGUAGUCCGGACUGUAGUCUGCAACUCGACUACAUGAAGUUGGAAUCGCUAGUAAUCGCGGAUCAGCAUGUCGCGGUGAAUACGUUCCCGGGUCUUGUACACACCGCCCGUC
Molecule: ribosomal RNA, 843 nt
Filed under: uncultured Undibacterium sp.
Lineage: Bacteria; Pseudomonadati; Pseudomonadota; Betaproteobacteria; Burkholderiales; Oxalobacteraceae
Description: bacterial SSU rRNA
Rfam family: Bacterial small subunit ribosomal RNA
Source: RNAcentral